UCAACACUCAACAGUCAACGCUUGGGUAAAGCCAUCCACCGCUCUGGAUCCAACGGCCACCUCUCCUCUCCCUGACCUAGCCGCCGCCACCUCUCUCCCGCGAACUCCAUGGCGACUGCGGCCUGAUCCGCAUCCCCGCCGCCCCUGCUGACCCCGUCUACCACGCCCUGGUCUUCAAACCGCGGCUGCCCCACUCCAACCUCGCCGCCGCCAGGCCCGGCACACCGUCGCCGCCGGCCGGGAGAGAUGGAUGAUGAGGCGCAGGAGACUCCAAAUGUUGGUGCUCUUCCCAGGAAGGCCCCCAAGGUGAUGAAUUGGACUCCGCCUAUGUCUGCGUUGAUGUUGAAAGGCCUUUCAGAGGUGGCGGCAAGAGGUGCCAAGACUGACAAAGGGUUCAAUGAGGUAAGUGUCUUCAGAGAACAAAUUCUGCAACUUGCUGGGAUUGCUUGUCAUGAAGAGGAGGGAAAAUCACGGACAGAGCUACUGGAGAAGCUCAAAACAUGUAACAAGGUUAUGCUAGUUGAACUGUGCCGUUCAUUUGAUGUCCCUGGUUCAACAAGCACUAAGAAGGAUGAAUUAGUGACAAUACUGAUGGAGUUCUUGAUGGAACACUGUUCUGGUAUUAUUUACACAGAUCCUGAUAAGGCUCAACUUCUUAGCGGCCAGAAACUUAAGAAAAGAAAGCGCAACAAGAAUGGAGCGAAUCUAUCUGGUGGGGAACCUUCCAAGAAAAGGAAACCAGAUGGAACUCUACUGGAAUUUUGUAGUCAAGAGGAAGCAGAUGGGAGAAAAGCUGUAGAAGAUAGAACAAACCAUUCCGAGUUCUGCUUGAGGGAUAGCAGAGAUGAGCUGGUAAAUGACUCCGCGUUGGGGAAAUUAGCUGUAGUUCCGCUCCCAGGAGUACUGAUUCCUACAGAUGAACAAACGCUAAUCACAACACCAUCUGCAAAGUUAUUUAGCAAUGUUGAGAACGAUACCACGGAUAUGGCAGCUUCAAUGAAGAAAAACAUUUCUGUUACCAAGAAAAAGGCAAUCCAAAACACAGAUUCCAAGGAGAAAUCUGGUGGUAAAAUUAUGUCUAGAGGAGAUGCGAAACCAUGGAAGCAGGCACCGAAACCAAGUAAGGAUGAGCUGAGACAAGCUGUCUUCUGUAUAUUGGGUGCUGCAAAUUUUGCCACGAUGACUUUUGGAGAGGUUGUAAAAGCAGUUGACAAAUACUUUGGCAAGGAUUUGUUUGAGAGAAAGCCACUGGUAAGGGCCUUGAUAGAGGAGGAGCUGUUUAGGCUAGCCAAGGAGGCUGAGAGGAAGGAAGUGGAAGAGGAGGAAGCAAUGGAAGCAAAAGUAAGAGCUGAACAAGCUGCCAAGGACAGCAGCGCAAGGGAUGGAAGAGUUGAAUCAGAGAUAGACAAGGAAUAUGAAGUUGAAGGUGGUCCAGAUGGUAAAUCUAAGGAUGCUGAAAAGACUGGCAACAGCAAUGGUAGUGAAGAAGGUGGUAAAAGUGGGAUUUGUGUGAAGGCUGGUGAGAAGGCCGCUGAAAAUUUACAAGAUGGGAAGGCAGAAGUUGACACAAGGAAGAAAGAAUUUAGCGAGGAUUGCGAGGCUGAAAAGAUUGUGCAGAAUGCAAAUGGCGAUGGUGGCACGGAAAUAUUGAGAGAUGGUAAAGCUGAAACUGUGAAUAAUAAUUGCAACGGUAACACCAUAGGAGGUUCUGAAGAUGUCAAAUCUGGAGAAAAAGACGGCAGAUCUGAAGAAGGCAGGGCUGAAAAUGCUGGUGACUGUGAAGCUGAAGAAUCUGAAACCUGUCCAGAAGCAGAAGCAGAAGCAGAAGAUGUCAAAUCUAAGGAAGCCAGUGGAAAUGAGAUUAGCCUUAACCCCAACUGAUCAAGCCUAAGAUCCAAAGGAGGUGGUGAGAUGAAGGUCCAGCUGAUGGAUGUUUCAGCCCCACUUAGUCCCAACUAGUAGGAUAGUUUAUGGAGGAUUAGAUUUCCUUGCGGACUGUACCCCAACAAGGUUAGGAAAUGGACAGAAUGUUGUGUAAAUUGUGCUUGACAUGUACUGUAGGUAGGUAGGUAGAACUGCUUUGCUCCAAUGGACGGGCGGGCGGAUGGACGGCCUGGAUUGGUCUGACAUGGCAGUAAUCGACGGUUGUCCAAUGUGACAGGUGGCACAUACUUAUCGAGUGAGCAACGGCUGGCUUGGCUCCACGUUCACAGCUCCAUCCCUUCUUAUCCGCGCAAUCCAACGGACCGGACCCAGCCAAGCCAUUCCCCACCACCCUCUCCCAG
Triticum aestivum (bread wheat) is the source of this 2285-nucleotide RNA transcript. RefSeq lists it as uncharacterized. The record is from RefSeq and is a predicted model, not a curated record. The transcript is spliced from 11 exons. NCBI's taxonomy places the organism in Eukaryota, Viridiplantae, Streptophyta, Magnoliopsida, Poales, Poaceae.